RNAcentral lists this long non-coding RNA (1113 nucleotides) under Homo sapiens (human). RNAcentral describes it as "non-protein coding lnc-TNFRSF14-66:2". Lineage: Eukaryota; Metazoa; Chordata; Mammalia; Primates; Hominidae. The record is from RNAcentral.
GCCGCCGCCUCCCGGCCGCCCUCCGCCCCGCGCGCUCGUUGAGGCCGGUGCUCCAGAGUGAAGAGCGUGGCGGUGCGGCGGUAGCGCAGGGCCCUCCUGCGGGGCCAGGCAGGGGCGGGUGGGCGCUCCUUGCCACCUUUCUGCUCUCCCUGCUGUCCGAGAAGUUCGUGCGGUGCCAGCCCAGCUCCCAGCUGGGGACAGAACAGGAAACGUCCCCGGCGAGCCUGGCGGGGGUGGCGGCAGGGGUGUCUGUCGCCUGCGCUGGGCAGGACGCGCGUCCUACCGGCCUCCCACUCCGCGGGCCUCACCAGCCACCUCAUUCCCGGAGCCCGGGCCGCCGAGAGCGCCGCGGAUGGACCUCAGGGAAGGCCUGGCGCGCCGCCUCCGGGAAGCCUUCCGGCCUUCUCCCUCCACCGAGUACUGGGGAGUCUCAGGCCACGGUGAAUGAAGAGCAACGGGCCGGAGAGACCUCGGCCUCUGCCCAGGAGCAGCGCCCAGCAACCCCGCCCACAGGGGACCCGGUGGACGCCCUGGUGGCCACUUUGCCAGGCUCCCCAUCUCCCAGCGAACCAGAGAGGAUUUCCGUUCCCCUCCUGCUUGGUGCCUAGCGCCAGGGCGGGGCGUGGGCUGAGCAGCCCCUCCCAUGGAGGGAGCGGCCAGUCUACAUAUUGGAGGUGGGGCUCUGGGGAAAGGGUGUUGUUAGGAAGGCGGUUUGAGGCAGCGGGAGGUGGGGAUGCGCCCGGCGGGGAGGGGCAGGUGUGUGGGGAGGGCCUGGGGAGCGCCUCCCCAGCCGGGCAGCGCUUCCCCAGCCAGGCCCCGCAGCUGGACCCCGGCUCCGUCCAGCCUGGGAAAGGACUCCACGGUUUAUGCUGAAGUGGUGGUGGGGUGGGUGAACGCUGCGCAAUGGAAGGGCAUGGCCCUGUGCUAAUUGCCCCGGGGUGUGGGGCUGUGGAGGCACUGCGGGGGGGAUGUGCUGUGUCAGUUGGGCAAUGGCGGCCAACUGUGGCGUGCAGGCCUUGGAGCUGCCCCUCCAUGGAGCUUUAAUAAAGGCACUAGCCCUGCAAUUUCUGCCUGAGUUUCUGGCCCACAGCUUGGCCGACUGCAGCCCCUGAG